RNAcentral lists this non-coding RNA (101 nucleotides) under Cryobacterium sp. Its description in RNAcentral is "TPP sequence". It matches the Rfam family "TPP riboswitch aptamer (THI element)". From Rfam's summary of the family: Vitamin B(1) in its active form thiamin pyrophosphate (TPP) is an essential coenzyme that is synthesised by coupling of pyrimidine and thiazole moieties in bacteria. Lineage: Bacteria; Bacillati; Actinomycetota; Actinomycetes; Micrococcales; Microbacteriaceae. The record is from RNAcentral.
GGACGCGACACGGGGUGCCUCCGCCGGAUGCGGACGCUGAGAUCCAAACCCGUCGAACCUGACUAGUUAGCACUAGCGAAGGGAUGUCGCCAUGAACGUUC